This 428-nucleotide ribosomal RNA is filed under the name uncultured bacterium. RNAcentral's name for it is "bacterial SSU rRNA". It matches the Rfam family "Bacterial small subunit ribosomal RNA", at positions 43 to 507 of the family's 1533-position model. The record is from RNAcentral.
CAGGCCUAACACAUGCAAGUCGAACGUGAAGCUGGAGCUUGCUCCAGUGGAAAGUGGCAGACGGGUGAGUAACGCGUGGGAAUCUACCCAAUGGUACGGAAUAACUCAGGGAAACUUGUGCUAAUACCGUAUGAGCCCUUCGGGGAAAGAUUUAUCGCCAUUGGAUGAGCCCGCGUUAGAUUAGUUUGUUGGUGGGUAAUGGCCUACCAAGACUACGAUCUAUAGCUGGUCUGAGAGGAUGAUCAGCCACACUGGGACUGAGACACGGCCCAGACUCCUACGGGAGGCAGCAGUGGGGAAUAUUGCACAAUGGGCGCAAGCCUGAUGCAACCAUGCCGCGUGAGUGAAGAAGGCCUUAGGGUUGUAAAACUCUUUCACCGGUGAAGAUAAUGACGGUAGCCGGAGAAGAAGCCCCGGCUAACUCCGUG